UCGGACGGGUGGAGUAACGCGUGGAAAACCUGCCGUAUACUGGGGGAUAACACUUAGAAAUAGGUGCUAAUACCGCAUAAGCGCACAGCUUCGCAUGAAGCGGUGUGAAAAACUCUGGUGGUAUACGAUGGUUCCGCGUCUGAUUAGCUAGUUGGUGGGGUAAUGGCCUACCAAGGCAACGAUCAGUAGCCGGCCUGAGAGGGUGAACGGCCACAUUGGGACUGAGACACGGCCCAAACUCCUACGGGAGGCAGCAG
RNAcentral lists this ribosomal RNA (257 nucleotides) under uncultured bacterium. RNAcentral's name for it is "partial 16S ribosomal RNA". It matches the Rfam family "Bacterial small subunit ribosomal RNA", at positions 98 to 354 of the family's 1533-position model. The record is from RNAcentral.